GACGAACGCUGGCGGCGUGCUUAACACAUGCAAGUCGAACGGAAAGGCCCUGCUUUUGUGGGGUGCUCGAGUGGCGAACGGGUGAGUAACACGUGAGUAACCUGCCCUUGACUUUGGGAUAACUUCAGGAAACUGGGGCUAAUACCGGAUAGGAGCUCCUGCUGCAUGGUGGGGGUUGGAAAGUUUCGGCGGUUGGGGAUGGACUCGCGGCUUAUCAGCUUGUUGGUGGGGUAGUGGCUUACCAAGGCUUUGACGGGUAGCCGGCCUGAGAGGGUGACCGGCCACAUUGGGACUGAGAGACGGCGCAGACUCCUACGGGAGGCAGCAGGGGGGAGUAUUGCACAGUGGGCGGAAGCCUGAUGCAGCAACGCCGCGUGCGGGAUGACGGCCUUCGGGUUGUAAACCGCUUUCGCCUGUGACGAAGCGUGAGUGACGGUAAUGGGUAAAGAAGCACCGGCUAACUACGUG
RNAcentral lists this ribosomal RNA (468 nucleotides) under uncultured bacterium. RNAcentral's name for it is "partial 16S ribosomal RNA". It matches the Rfam family "Bacterial small subunit ribosomal RNA", at positions 28 to 507 of the family's 1533-position model. The record is from RNAcentral.